Molecule: long non-coding RNA, 257 nt
Filed under: Elaeis guineensis (African oil palm)
Lineage: Eukaryota; Viridiplantae; Streptophyta; Magnoliopsida; Arecales; Arecaceae
Description: long non-coding RNA (EGUI_LNC017520)
Source: RNAcentral
CCAGGAGCAAAAAGUUGAUACUGCUCCAGGAUAUGGUAUUGUUCCCAGAGCUAUUCAAUAUUGGGUUCGAAUAAGGAAGAAGCUUCCAUUCUGGAUCUGAGAGAGAUUUAUCGGUCGAAUUCUCCGACCGACUAUCUUGAGAAAAAAAAGCCUUUUUACUGACCAUCGAAAAUGAAAAACUAAAAAAGAGGAGAGAAAACCCUAAGAGAAAGCCCUAAGAGAAGGAAGAAGGACUCGAUCUGAAGCCAAGGAUAGUG